GAAUCCUUGAGCUAUAACAAUCCAAGAUGGCCGCCUGUCUGAUCAACAAACGCUCAAGAUUUAAUUCGUGAAUUAUUCGAUUAUGUUGAUAACUGUGACUUAGAUUAUCCGUUAUAAGUGAUGAUUACGAAGUGCUGUGUUCGAGAAUGUAAUUGAAGAGGAGACGUGUGUGUCAAAAUGGACAACAUUGAAUCGAAAAGAAGCAUCAUACCAAGUUCCUCCAGUGCUGUGUUGCACAUUAAGUAGUAAUCCCAGAGGUGUUCGUCAAGAAAGAGCCUUUUCUGGCUUCUGCAGAAUUCCAGCGAUUUUUCCUUGAAGAUGAAAUCCAACACAACAAAUCAGAAAGUGAGGUUUGCCCCGCCCACUUACAACGCCUUCAAGUGAAGUUGACCCCGCCCAUUUGCAACGUCUCCAGGCUAUAAAAUUCUACAAAGCACAACAGAAAAUCUUAGUCUGCUGCUGCUGCCACUUGCGACGGUAUCAAGCUGACCUUAAAGAACUCAACCUAGCGUCAGUUCAGUGUUUGAAGAUUCCAUUGAAAAAGCAGAUGAGAAACUCGAGACCUCUAUUCCCAUUGAGUCAGGCCAGGGUAGCGUGCAAUGCCCACCCAACCCACUAAUCUACCUCGUGUUGAUGGCAUUACGAACUGGCCCCGUCAUUAUCUAGGACAUUUAGCUGGACUGAAUCCUAAAUCUCGACCUUGUGUGUGGAAGCCUGCUGACUGAAUGUGGAACCUUC
Macrobrachium nipponense is the source of this 738-nucleotide long non-coding RNA. RefSeq lists it as uncharacterized. The record is from RefSeq and is a predicted model, not a curated record. The transcript is spliced from 3 exons. NCBI's taxonomy places the organism in Eukaryota, Metazoa, Arthropoda, Malacostraca, Decapoda, Palaemonidae.